AACGCACAUUGCGCCCCUUGGUAUUCCAUGGGGCAUGCCUGUUCGAGCGUCAUUUGUACCUUCAAGCUCUGCUUGGUGUUGGGUGUUUGUCCCGCCUUUGUGCGCGGACUCGCCUUAAAGCAAUUGGCAGCCGGCGUAUUAGUUUCGGAGCGCAGCACAAAUCGCGCUCUGUGUCUUUAUACGGUGGCGUCCAUCAAGACUAUUUUACACUCUUGACCUCGGAUCAGGUAGGGAUACCCGCUGAACUUAA
RNAcentral lists this unclassified non-coding RNA (250 nucleotides) under uncultured Neoascochyta. Its description in RNAcentral is "sequence contains ITS2". Lineage: Eukaryota; Fungi; Ascomycota; Dothideomycetes; Pleosporales; Didymellaceae. The record is from RNAcentral.